AAAAGGCGGAGGGUUUGAGGUUCCUUAUUGACUUUUUUUUUUUUUUUUUUUUUUUUUCCUUAUU
This 64-nucleotide non-coding RNA is filed under the name Heterosigma akashiwo. Lineage: Eukaryota; Raphidophyceae; Chattonellales; Chattonellaceae. The record is from RNAcentral.